RNAcentral lists this ribosomal RNA (253 nucleotides) under uncultured bacterium. RNAcentral's name for it is "partial 16S ribosomal RNA". It matches the Rfam family "Bacterial small subunit ribosomal RNA", at positions 524 to 776 of the family's 1533-position model. The record is from RNAcentral.
UACGGAGGAUGCGAGCGUUAUCCGGAUUUAUUGGGUUUAAAGGGUGCGUAGGCUGAAGAUCAAGUCAGCGGUGAAAUGUCCCGGCUCAACCGGGGCCUUGCCGUUGAAACUGGUCAUCUGGAAUGCGGAUGCCGUGGGAGGAAUGUGUGGUGUAGCGGUGAAAUGCAUAGAUAUCACACAGAACACCGAUUGCGAAGGCAUCUCACGAAUCCGCAAUUGACGCUGAGGCACGAAAGCGUGGGGAUCAAACAGG